CGAAGUGUGCAGAGCAGAUCUCUGGAUGUCACUUCACCCAGACCUGCUCAAACACUUGGGGUUCUUACCACUGCACUUGUCCGAGGGGAUUCAGCUCGUCAGGACCAGGGCAGCCCUGUUUAGAUGUGAAUGAGUGCCUGGCCUCCCCCCCUCCGUGCAAGUACCAGUGCCACAACCUCCGGGGAACGUACGAGUGUAUUUGCGGUCCUGGUGAACAGCGGCUGCCCGACGGGAAAUCCUGCGUUGGGCUUCAGUACCUGGAGGAGGAGGAGGCCGCCGGUCGGUCGCCCUCCCGCCGCGUCGAACGAGACUCCGCCCCGCGCCGGCUAUC
This is a long non-coding RNA of Penaeus monodon (black tiger shrimp), 331 nucleotides long. RefSeq lists it as uncharacterized. NCBI's taxonomy places the organism in Eukaryota, Metazoa, Arthropoda, Malacostraca, Decapoda, Penaeidae. The record is from RefSeq and is a predicted model, not a curated record. The transcript has 3 exons.